Molecule: long non-coding RNA, 432 nt
Organism: Drosophila rhopaloa
Lineage: Eukaryota; Metazoa; Arthropoda; Insecta; Diptera; Drosophilidae
Exons: 4
Source: RefSeq, a predicted model, not a curated record
ACAAAACUAUCGCCUUGAGGCAGGCAAAUUCAGCAGGAUCAACCAGCACCGCCUUGUACUUGCAGAAGAUCUCGUGGAGGGUUCGCACAUCCGCCGCAAGCUAAAGGAAAUUGAAGAUUGUUACAGUGCUCCGCCACCGAGAAGAGGGCGCAGCCGGUGGGAUCCAGGGGAAUACACCAUUGGAUGGCAUUUAGCAGGAAAAGCUCGGACCAGGACUCCUCCAGCAGAAUCACCUAAGUAAGCAACAUAAGUUUUACGUUAUUUUAUCACCACAAAACGUUAAAAAGCAAACCGAAUCCUGAUGACCAAGGACGUUCAGCCCACCUGAUCCCGAAAGGAGAGUCGUGCAAAGCUGGGCAGGUUCUUGGCCCACUUGACGGCCAUGAAGAGUAGUCGAGCACUCGUCUCAUAAACGGUUUCGUGCUGAUGGGC